GGCGGCGUGCUUAACACAUGCAAGUCGAACGAUGAUGCCCAGCUUGCUGGGUGGAUUAGUGGCGAACGGGUGAGUAACACGUGAGUAACCUGCCCCUGACUCUGGGAUAAGCGUUGGAAACGACGUCUAAUACUGGAUAUGAUCACUGGCCGCAUGGUCUGGUGGUGGAAAGAUUUUUUGGUUGGGGAUGGACUCGCGGCCUAUCAGCUUGUUGGUGAGGUAAUGGCUCACCAAGGCGACGACGGGUAGCCGGCCUGAGAGGGUGACCGGCCACACUGGGACUGAGACACGGCCCAGACUCCUACGGGAGGCAGCAGUGGGGAAUAUUGCACAAUGGGCGAAAGCCUGAUGCAGCAACGCCGCGUGAGGGAUGACGGCCUUCGGGUUGUAAACCUCUUUUAGUAGGGAAGAAGCGAAAGUGACGGUACCUGCAGAAAAAGCACCGGCUAACUACGUGCCAGCAGCCGCGGUAAUACGUAGGGUGCAAGCGUUGUCCGGAAUUAUUGGGCGUAAAGAGCUCGUAGGCGGUUUGUCGCGUCUGCUGUGAAAUCCCGAGGCUCAACCUCGGGCUUGCAGUGGGUACGGGCAGACUAGAGUGCGGUAGGGGAGAUUGGAAUUCCUGGUGUAGCGGUGGAAUGCGCAGAUAUCAGGAGGAACACCGAUGG
This 665-nucleotide ribosomal RNA is filed under the name Curtobacterium sp. RNAcentral's name for it is "bacterial SSU rRNA". It matches the Rfam family "Bacterial small subunit ribosomal RNA", at positions 38 to 715 of the family's 1533-position model. Lineage: Bacteria; Bacillati; Actinomycetota; Actinomycetes; Micrococcales; Microbacteriaceae. The record is from RNAcentral.